Molecule: long non-coding RNA, 3703 nt
Organism: Cuculus canorus (common cuckoo)
Lineage: Eukaryota; Metazoa; Chordata; Aves; Cuculiformes; Cuculidae
Exons: 3
Source: RefSeq, a predicted model, not a curated record
GAAGGAAGGACAGAAGGAAGAAAGAAAUGCAUCUGGGUUUAUAUCCAAUUGGAUUACUGUCAACCACAUCCAGCUGAGAGGGGAGAAGACAGACGUAUUGAUGGUCACUGAAAUGAGAUGGAACAAAAGAAGACAACCUGAGCAGGGAAGAAAAGGUUCCCUUUUAAAAUGGUUGAGCUUUGAUGGUGCAUUAUUCUGGUCUUUCAGAACUCCCUGCAUACCCUGUAUGCCAAAUAAUCCCCCCUCCUUUUCUUUUCUAUUUUCCUCAAGGACUUUCAUUAUUAUUAUUAUUUUAAUCAGAAUUCAACUGUACUGCUUUCUUCUCAGCUGUCCUUCAUCACCAGUAAAGUGGCACAUUUUUAGACCUUUAUGACCUGCAAAAGCCUGCUGCUCUCCCCCUUUUUAUGAUCUGGAAGAUGUGAAGCACUGGAACCUAGGGGUUUUCACUUGUGCUGAAGAAAAGACCUCUUAGUUACUUCCAUUUCUCUGUUGUGUUACAUUUUCUGUAUAUACUUUGCCUUUUGGAUAUUUUUUCUGCCAUUGUACAGUCUGAGCUCCUCUAUUACAAUGAAAACAUAUUUUUUCUUCCCUACAGUGGCUCAAUGAGUCACCAGCCACACCAAAGCUUGACUAUGAGCUACCUAAGUGCAAAAGGAGAUGGGUCCAGCUUGCAACGAGAUGCCUGAGGGACUUUCAUACAGCUCAAGCCUGCAGGCUGAACAACCCCAACUGUCUCAGCCUGUCCUUGUGUGGAAGGUGCUUCAGCCCUCGGAUCAUCUCCUCGGCCUCUUCUGGGCUUGCUCUAACAUAGGACUGCAGGAUGAACAACCCCAACUCUCUCAGCCUGCCCUCAUACGGGAGGUGCUCCAGACCUCAGAUGAUCUCCGUGGCCUCCUCUGGACUCGCUCCAACAACUCCGUGUCUUUCUUGUGCUGAGGACUCCAGAACUGAAUGCAGUUGCCAUGUCAUUCCCCCCUCGUUCAGCUUAAAAACAUUCCCCCUCCUCCUAUCCCUUCGCUCCCUGAGCCUCCAACCUUAAAAGUCCAUCAGCCUCUCUGAACUGAGGCUUGGACAUGGAAACAUCACAACAUCCAGCACUGCCCAUGUUCUUUGUAUCGCCCAGGGAUACCGCACUGGUGUUUGCUGUGAUUUACAAGCACCUUCUUGCGCUCAGAGGGAAAUAUGUUGUCAGUGAGUUCUCUCUUAAUUUGCAUUCUUCCAAUCUAAUCAAACCUUUGUAAACAGCAGCUCUCUGAAAACAAUAAUCAGCAGCAAAAGACACACUGACAGGGUAAGGGAAGGUGAAUUAAGAUGCUUUUCUUUCUCCUAUGCUAAUCUUUUCCUAAUUAUGUUUUAUUAAUAUUAUGAUGCAGCCGCUUCCAUUAUUGUUUUCACUCAUAUUGUCCGUAGUUAAAAUCAAAUUGCUAAUGAAUGAGCUAUAUAUUUGGUUUAAUUAUUUAAGCCUCUGACUUUCAUAUUUUUCAUAAGCAACCACUACACUCAGACCAGGAUUGGGUACAUUCCUUCCCCCCUUCUCCCAGUUUUUGAGGUAUUCUUGUGUGAUAAUUCUAUGGGUGACAGUGACAUUUUUUAUGAUAAGUUGGAUGAUUCAUUACCAUCCAGUGACAGUUGUGUGGUCUUAUAUUUAUAAUAAGGUGCUUUUCAUUCCAGAAUGGGGGUGGGAAGCACCCACUUUUCGUAUUAAACAGUCUAAUACUGCAGCUUUUAUGCCAAAAUUGCCACAGAAUAAUGUUAUAUUCUUCCCUUUUGAUUCUCGAGGGAUGCUUUGAAAGGGCUAAUCAAAAAAUGAACUUGGAGGCUUGAGCUUGGUUGUUUGCUGUAGACGAACAAGACCUUGAAGUUGGAACAGUUGGUAAUCCACGGUGUUCCAGGUGCAACACCUAGCGUGGGUUGUUUUAUUUAUGGGAAAGUAUGGCAGGUGGGCUGAGUGAUGGCUGUCACUUUGGGAGUGCCACUGUGGUGUCCAAAAAGUGUGUAGACGUGGCAUGUUGUGACAUGGUUUUAAUAGGCGUGUUGGUAUUGUGUUGAUGGUUGGAUUAGAUGACCAUAGAGGUCUUUUCCAACCUUAACGACUCUACAACUACCUAAAAGGAGGUUGCAGAGAGGUGGAUGUUGGUCUCUUCUCCCAGGUGAUAGGUGAUAGAACAAGAGCAAACGGUGUCAAGCCGCAUCAGGGGACGUUUAGAUUGGAAAUUAGAAAAGAAUUCUUCACAGAAAGGGUUAUCUAGCACUGGAACAGACUGCCCAGGGAGGUGAUUGAGUCUCCAUCCCUGGAGGUGUUUAAUAGGUGGGUAGAUGAGGUGCUUCGGGACAUGAUUUAUUAGUGGACAGGUACAGUUGGAGUUGAUGAUCUCAAACGUCUUUGCCAACCGAAUUCUAUGAUUCUGUGGUUGAUUUUGCUUAUACGUUGUUGCCCAGGUGCAGCAACAGAGUGAAAUAAAAUGGUAAAAGAAAUAUAAAUAUAUGUCAGGCUGAAUUUAGAAGCUUUUGCUCAAGAUCUGUUUUGAUAGAAGUGCCAAAUUCUAACAGCUUAGCUGAUUUCAGGUGCCUCUUGCAAAUCAUCCUGCUGGCUUGUCCAUCUGUUGAUGCUGAUGUUUUUUAUUUUCUGAAGGGUUUUUUUGUGGAGAAAUGAGGAUACUUUUUACCACUAUGGACAGUUGGGAAGCUAUUGCCGAUGCUCGGUAACUUCUCAAAGAAAUGUCAGCCCCUGAGCAGGUUUCUUUCCCAGAAGAAAGAAAAUAAUCCUUGAGAAGGGAAAAUAUUUCUUGGCUGACAGAAACUAUUUAAAUACAUAAUUAUCACUGGGGGGAGUCAUUAAGAUGAUGCUUUUUUUUCACUCUGAUGAAUGUGUUGAAUUGAGUUGCAUCAGAAGCAUUUAUAGAUCUAGCUUAAAGACAGAUAUGCAAAUGGGGUGGCAUCCUGCAAGCUAACGUCCUCUCGCUACAGUUCUUUGAUAAUUAAAGGGAUCCAUCCUCAUCCUGCAGCUCCUAUAAAUGGGAACAAAUUCAUAUUUACCAAUGAUUGUCCUGUAUUUUCCCUGGUGUCACUGUGGACCUUGUGAUAAACACCCCUGAGUUUAUCAGGGGGUGAAAUCCAGCUUUGCGUGGAGGAUCUAAAGUCUUGUGCAUGCUUGAACACCACUCAGUGUUCCAUAAGAAACGCAAAGUCUUUGGAAAACAAUGGUUUUGGGGCUUAAGUGGGACUGGAGAGGCAGAGAGGUCUCCUGCAAAGAGCUCUGUUUUCACCCUGGUGGAGUGGGGGAGUGAAUCUUUGUUGCAGAGUGCUCCUCAGUGCUUUUUUGUGCUCUCCUUCCCACUCCACAAAUCAGGCAUUUUGGUGAAGAGUCAACGAGAUGAGCAAGCUGCUGAGAAGGGAGCCACUCGUAGAGGAAGAUUUAUUCGUGGCUGAGGAGCAAAUAUUCACAUUAAUGUAGAAAGAAAGGGACUGAUGUUAAGAAAACGCUGCAGCAGGAAAGACCAUGCUAAACCGAAGCAUGUGGAACCUGUUUCUCAUCUGGCACUGGCGUAGUCCUUAGUUUACACAAGUUGACCUGGAGUACUUUUAUGCAAACAAAUUGCUUUAUUCAUCCCUUCCAGUAUGGAAAGGGGCUCCAGGAAAGCUGGGGAGGGGCUUUUGAUCAGGGAGUGAGAGGAUAGGACAAAGCGGGAUGGUUUUAAGCUGA